ACUCAAAGGAAUUGACGGGGGCCCGCACAAGCGGUGGAGCAUGUGGUUUAAUUCGAUGCAACGCGAAGAACCUUACCUGCCCUUGACAUGUCAGGAAUUCUGCAGAGAUGCGGGAGUGCCUUCGGGAACCUGAACACAGGUGCUGCAUGGCUGUCGUCAGCUCGUGUCGUGAGAUGUUGGGUUAAGUCCCGUAACGAGCGCAACCCUUAUCCUUAGUUGCCAGCACGUAAAGGUGGGAACUCUAAGGAGACUGCCGGUGACAAACCGGAGGAAGGUGGGGACGAGGUCAAGUCAUCAUGGCCCUUAUGGGCAGGGCCACACACGUGCUACAAUGGGGUGGCACAAAGGGAAGCAAACCCGCGAGGGGGAGCGGAUCUCAAAAAACACCUCGUAGUCCGGAUUGGAGUCUGCAACUCGACUCCAUGAAGUUGGAAUCGCUAGUAAUCGCGGAUCAGAAUGCCGCGGUGAAUACGUUCCCGGGCCUUGUACACACCGCCCGU
This 500-nucleotide ribosomal RNA is filed under the name uncultured bacterium. RNAcentral describes it as "partial 16S ribosomal RNA". It matches the Rfam family "Bacterial small subunit ribosomal RNA", at positions 899 to 1397 of the family's 1533-position model. The record is from RNAcentral.